AAAAUCAGUCCGUAUUCUUUCAUUAUCGGAUUCUCGAACAAAUUGAUGUUUCGGGAACAGUAGGUUGUUGGCCCAAGGUUCCCUAUCCACCGGGAUGGGGCUGCCAUCUUAGGUAUAGCUUCCGGGGAAUAGCAUUUCAUACUCAGCCGCUGGAUGCCAGAACAGACGCUGUUGGAGCCGCACCUCCUUGGUGAACAGACGCUCGGUCAGUCGGGUCAAAUUUGUUUAAAGUCCCACCCAACACCAGGACUAGGCUAGUGCGCUUUGAGCGGCACACGGUCGCUUUGAUAGGACCUGCUUGGGGACACAUGCAGCUUUUUAUAGGAGUUCAACAGAGCCCACUGUCGAACCCCACCACAUCCUAGGCAGACCCCACAGGACGCACCCUCUCACUCUAGCUGAUGUCAGAAGGACAACAGUGCCCAGGCUGCACUACCAGCUAAGUACGCAACCCUUAGCUGGCGGUCAAU
Molecule: long non-coding RNA, 470 nt
Organism: Armigeres subalbatus
Lineage: Eukaryota; Metazoa; Arthropoda; Insecta; Diptera; Culicidae
Exons: 2
Source: RefSeq, a predicted model, not a curated record